GUAUGCUGGAGGUAUCAGAAGUGCGAAUGCUGACAUAAGUAACGAUAAAGCGGGUGAAAAGCCCGCUCGCCGGAAGACCAAGGGUUCCUGUCCAACGUUAAUCGGGGCAGGGUGAGUCGACCCCUAAGGCGAGGCCGAAAGGCGUAGUCGAUGGGAAACAGGUUAAUAUUCCUGUACUUGGUGUUACUGCGAAGGGGGGACGGAGAAGGCUAUGUUGGCCGGGCGACGGUUGUCCCGGUUUAAGCGUGUAGGCUGGUUUUCCAGGCAAAUCCGGAAAAUCAAGGCUGAGGCGUGAUGACGAGGCACUACGGUGCUGAAGCAACAAAUGCCCUGCUUCCAGGAAAAGCCUCUAAGCAUCAGGUAACAUCAAAUCGUACCCCAAACCGACACAGGUGGUCAGGUAGAGAAUACCAAGGCGCUUGAGAGAACUCGGGUGAAGGAACUAGGCAAAAUGGUGCCGUAACUUCGGGAGAAGGCACGCUGAUAUGUAGGUGAAGCGACUUGCUCGUGGAGCUGAAAUCAGUCGAAGAUACCAGCUGGCUGCAACUGUUUAUUAAAAACACAGCACUGUGCAAACACGAAAGUGGACGUAUACGGUGUGACGCCUGCCCGGUGCCGGAAGGUUAAUUGAUGGGGUUAGCGGUAACGCGAAGCUCUUGAUCGAAGCCCCGGUAAACGGCGGCCGUAACUAUAACGGUCCUAAGGUAGCGAAAUUCCUUGUCGGGUAAGUUCCGACCUGCACGAAUGGCGUAAUGAUGGCCAGGCUGUCUCCACCCGAGACUCAGUGAAAUUGAACUCGCUGUGAAGAUGCAGUGUACCCGCGGCAAGACGGAAAGACCCCGUGAACCUUUACUAUAGCUUGACACUGAACAUUGAGCCUUGAUGUGUAGGAUAGGUGGGAGGCUUUGAAGUGUGGACGCCAGUCUGCAUGGAGCCGGCCUUGAAAUACCACCCUUUAAUGUUUGAUGUUCUAACGUUGGCCCCUGAUCGGGGUUGCGGACAGUGUCUGGUGGGUAGUUUGACUGGGGCGGUCUCCUCCUAAAGAGUAACGGAGGAGCACGAAGGUUGGCUAAUCCUGGUCGGACAUCAGGAGGUUAGUGCAAUGGCAUAAGCCAGCUUGACUGCGAGCGUGACGGCGCGAGCAGGUGCGAAAGCAGGUCAUAGUGAUCCGGUGGUUCUGAAUGGAAGGGCCAUCGCUCAACGGAUAAAAGGUACUCCGGGGAUAACAGGCUGAUACCGCCCAAGAGUUCAUAUCGACGGCGGUGUUUGGCACCUCGAUGUCGGCUCAUCACAUCCUGGGGCUGAAGUAGGUCCCAAGGGUAUGGCUGUUCGCCAUUUAAAGUGGUACGCGAGCUGGGUUUAGAACGUCGUGAGACAGUUCGGUCCCUAUCUGCCGUGGGCGCUGGAGAACUGAGGGGGGCUGCUCCUAGUACGAGAGGACCGGAGUGGACGCAUCACUGGUGUUCGGGUUGUCAUGCCAAUGGCACUGCCCGGUAGCUAAAUGCGGAAGAGAUAAGUGCUGAAAGCAUCUAAGCACGAAACUUGCCCCGAGAUGAGUUCUCCCUGAGACUUAGAGUCUCCUGAAGGAACGUUGAAGACGACGACGUUGAUAGGCCGGGUGUGUAAGCGCAGCGAUGCGUUGAGCUAACCGGUACUAAUGAACCGUGAGGCUUAACCUUACAACGCCGAAG
RNAcentral lists this ribosomal RNA (1691 nucleotides) under Escherichia coli. RNAcentral describes it as "partial 23S ribosomal RNA". It matches the Rfam family "Bacterial large subunit ribosomal RNA", at positions 1268 to 2925 of the family's 2925-position model. The record is from RNAcentral. Lineage: Bacteria; Pseudomonadati; Pseudomonadota; Gammaproteobacteria; Enterobacterales; Enterobacteriaceae.